Long non-coding RNA from Capra hircus (goat), 758 nucleotides. RefSeq lists it as uncharacterized. The transcript is spliced from 3 exons. NCBI's taxonomy places the organism in Eukaryota, Metazoa, Chordata, Mammalia, Artiodactyla, Bovidae. The record is from RefSeq and is a predicted model, not a curated record.
UCAAAGCACUGGGAAUUGGCUUUCAGCUUUCCUCCCCUUUCCUUAUCUCUCCUAAACCUUCCGACCCAAAUUUAACCUCUGCUCUUAGUCCUCUCCCAGCCUUCAAGCUGUGAAAAUAAUAGAGGAAUGAUAAAUAUGAACGCCCUCGUAAACUGCAAAGCCCUGGCUCUUGCUAAGUUUCUAGGAAUGACGUCCGGGCGAAGGUGAAGCCUUCCCAAAGGGUAGCCGCGGGCGUAGCGAGAGACGCGCACAGGGAGCGGCGACUGGGUGGGGAGCGCUUUGGAACCGCUGGUUCCUCCGGAGGCUCAGGUGUGUGCGGACAAGUAGCACCACCUCCUUUCCAGCCCGUCUGCCCCGCUGGGGAGGCAGAGUGUUUGCGGGACCUGCCAUCCUGAGACCAGAACUGGGAGGUGUGUGUAGAAACACCCGGGGUGGCCGUGGUUUGCUUGUUUAAAUUACAGACCAGGGUAGCAGCAGGUUACCUGAUGAAAGAAAGAAGAAGAAGCAGCUUUAAAGAACAAAGAAUAUGCCCAGAACAAAAUAUUGUUUUGUGAAUUAGAAACGACGUGUUUCUGAAAAAAUGCCUUCGUCUACUUUCCCUGGAAGAGGAUACUGGGUUGGAUCGUCAAUAAACAAGUUCCAUCACCUUUCUAAUGGACUGACCUGUGACAAAGUGCACCCCUUCCACCGUGAUGUCCAUGCCAUUGACAGCCCCAGACAAGGAGCCAUCCAGCUCUCUGAUGACCGAGCCAUCGAAC